AUGCCAGACUCCUACGGGAGGCAGCAGUGGGGAAUAUUGCACAAUGGGGGAAACCCUGAUGCAGCGACGCCGCGUGAGUGAAGAAGUAUUUCGGUAUGUAAAGCUCUAUCAGCAGGGAAGAAAAUGACGGUACCUGACUAAGAAGCCCCGGCUAACUACGUGCCAGCAGCCGCGGUAAUACGUAGGGGGCAAGCGUUAUCCGGAUUUACUGGGUGUAAAGGGAGCGUAGACGGCAUGGCAAGUCAGAUGUGAAAGCCCGGGGCACAACCCCGGGACUGCAUUUGAAACUGUCAGGCUGGAGUGCAGGAGAGGUAAGUGGAAUUCCUAGUGUAGCGGUGAAAUGCGUAGAUAUUAGGAGGAACACCAGUGGCGAAGGCGGAUGACUGGACGGCAACUGACGGUGAGGCGCGAAAGCGUGGGGAGCAAACAGGAUUAGAUACCCCAG
This 445-nucleotide ribosomal RNA is filed under the name uncultured bacterium. RNAcentral's name for it is "bacterial SSU rRNA". It matches the Rfam family "Bacterial small subunit ribosomal RNA", at positions 328 to 790 of the family's 1533-position model. The record is from RNAcentral.